GGGGAAUAUUGCGCAAUGGGGGAAACCCUGACGCAGCAACGCCGCGUGCGGGAUGAAGGCCUUCGGGUUGUAAACCGCUUUCAGCAGGGACGAAGGGUUUCUGACGGUAACUCAUGAAUAAGCACCGGAUAACUACGUGCCAGCAGCCGCGGUCAUACGUAGGGUGCAAGCAUUAUCCGGAGUGACUGGGCGUAAAGAGUUGCGUAGGCGGUUAGUAAAGCGAAUAGUGAAACCUGGUGGCUCAACCAUACAGACUAUUAUUCGAACUCACUAACUCGAGAAUGGUAGAGGUAACUGGAAUUUCUAGUGUAGGAGUGAAAUCCGUAGAUAUUAGAAGGAACACCAAUGGCGUAGGCAGGUUACUGGACCAUUUCUGACGCUAAGGCACGAAAGCGUGGGGAGCGAACC
This 408-nucleotide ribosomal RNA is filed under the name uncultured Candidatus Saccharibacteria bacterium. Its description in RNAcentral is "bacterial SSU rRNA". It matches the Rfam family "Bacterial small subunit ribosomal RNA", at positions 356 to 774 of the family's 1533-position model. The record is from RNAcentral. Lineage: Bacteria; Candidatus Saccharimonadota.